Molecule: ribosomal RNA, 433 nt
Filed under: uncultured bacterium
Lineage: Bacteria
Description: bacterial SSU rRNA
Rfam family: Bacterial small subunit ribosomal RNA
Source: RNAcentral
ACGAACGCUGGCGGCAGGCUUAACACAUGCAAGUCGAACGGUUGUAGCAAUACAGCAGUGGCAGACGGGUGAGUAACACGUGGGAACCUUCCUAGGGGUACGGAACAACUCAGGGAAACUUGAGCUAAUACCGUAUACGUCCGUGAGGAGAAAGAUUUAUCGCCCUUAGACGGGCCCGCGUCGGAUUAGCUAGUUGGUGGGGUAACGGCCUACCAAGGCGACGAUCCGUAGCUGAUCUUAGAGGAUGAUCAGCCACACUGGGACUGAGACACGGCCCAGACUCCUACGGGAGGCAGCAGUGGGGAAUCUUGGACAAUGGGCGCAAGCCGGAGCCAGCCAUGCCGCGUGAGUGAAGAAGGUCUUCGGAUUGUAAAGCUCUUUUGCCAGGGACGAUAAUGACGGUACCUGGAGAAUAAGCCCCGGCAAACUUCGU